UACGGAGGAUGCAAGCGUUAUCCGGAUUCAUUGGGUUUAAAGGGUGCGUAGGCGCGCUAUUAAGUCAGUGGUGAAAUCCUGCAGCUUAACUGCAGAACUGCCGUUGAUACUGAUAGUCUUGAGUUUGGUUAAGGUAGGCGGAAUGUGUAAUGUAGCGGUGAAAUGCUUAGAUAUUACACAGAACACCAAUUGCGUAGGCAGCUUACUGAGCCGACACUGACGCUGAGGCACGAAAGCGUGGGGAUCAAACA
Molecule: ribosomal RNA, 251 nt
Filed under: uncultured prokaryote
Description: partial 16S ribosomal RNA
Rfam family: Bacterial small subunit ribosomal RNA
Source: RNAcentral